Molecule: ribosomal RNA, 801 nt
Filed under: uncultured bacterium
Lineage: Bacteria
Description: bacterial SSU rRNA
Rfam family: Bacterial small subunit ribosomal RNA
Source: RNAcentral
CGCGAAAGGGAGCUUCGGUUCCCAAGUAGAGCGGCGGACGGGUGAGUAACACGUGGGCAACCUAUCUCCGGGUGGGGAAUAACUUCGGGAAACCGGGGCUAAUUCCGCAUAAUAUUUCGGGCUCUCAAGAGUCCGUAAUCAAAGCUGGGGACCCUUCGGGGCCUGGCGCCUGGUGAGGGACCCGCGGCCGAUUAGCUUGUUGGUGAGGUAAUGGCUCACCAAGGCUGCGAUCGGUAGCCGGCCUGAGAGGGCGGACGGCCACACUGGGACUGAGACACGGCCCAGACUCCUACGGGAGGCAGCAGUGGGGAAUUUUUGUCAAUGGGGGAAACCCUGAACAAGCAACGCCGCGUGGAGGAUGAAGGCCUUCGGGUCGUAAACUCCUGUCGGAGGGGACGAAAGCGGCUGGGGUCAAUACCCUCAACUGUUGACGGUACCCUAUGAGGAAGCCCCGGCUAACUCCGUGCCAGCAGCCGCGGUAAUACGGGGGGGGCAAGCGUUGUUCGGAAUUACUGGGCGUAAAGGGCGCGCAGGCGGCCCGGCCAGUCCCUUGUGAAAUCCCACAGCUUAACUGUGGAACUGCAGGGGAUACUGCCGGGCUUGAGUCCGGGAGAGGGUAGUGGAAUUCCCAGUGUAGCGGUGAAAUGCGUAGAUAUUGGGAGGAACACCGGUGGCGAAGGCGGCUACCUGGACCGGUACUGACGCUGAGGCGCGAAAGCUAGGGGAGCAAACGGGAUUAGAUACCCCGGUAGUCCUAGCCGUAAACGAUGGGCACUUGGUGUUGAGGGUAUUGAGUCCCUC